AUCUAGCUGACGAGUCCCAUAUAGAACGAAACAUAGGUCUUGGAU
Molecule: non-coding RNA, 45 nt
Filed under: Schistosoma margrebowiei
Lineage: Eukaryota; Metazoa; Platyhelminthes; Trematoda; Strigeidida; Schistosomatidae
Source: RNAcentral